Molecule: long non-coding RNA, 528 nt
Organism: Patiria miniata (bat star)
Lineage: Eukaryota; Metazoa; Echinodermata; Asteroidea; Valvatida; Asterinidae
Exons: 2
Source: RefSeq, a predicted model, not a curated record
GGGGCGCUGCCAUUUUUCCGACCGGUCUCCUGUCCCCAUCGCGCCUGUUGGCUGCGGGGGAUGCGGAACGGGGCCCGGCUAUUUCCACCCCAUUUUCCCAUAAUUCCUUUCCCCAUUGAGCCGGCGCCAUCUUGCGUACGGGCCGGAUAAUUGACGUGCCACGUCGUAUACGUUCGUUUAUGAGCAUGCAGCGCAUGCAACAGCACAGCGUUGUUGACAUGGUUGACGUAUCUGUUCCUCCUUGCUCCAGUUUUCUCUUUGAACGGACUCCCGAUGACACCCACAUCACAUGACCAGCUCCAACCAUGCUCCAAGCAUGCUCCAGUGCAUGCUUCAACCAGUUCCUAAAGCAAGAAUCUCAACUCAAGACGAAGACACCUAUUCUUUCCAGUUCAACUGCAAGAUUCCUGCUUUUUCUCUUUACCCAUUCAAAACACAUUUUCCUUCUAGCCAUAAUUUUAUUUUUAGAAGUCAUGAAAUAGUGCCAAACAAAUCACUCUUUUCUGCUGUUUGAUGUCCAUCCUUUUU